AAUUUUGGAAGAGAUGCAUUUAUUAGAUAAAAAACCAAUACAUACUUUUUCAAGUAUGAAAUUUGGUGAUUUACAAUAACUUAGCAAAUCGCAUAGUGAAAACAGGCGAUAAAUCAUUCAAGUUUCUGACCUAUCAGCUUUCGACGGUAUGGUAUUGGCUUACCGUGGCAGUGACGGUUAACGGGGGAUUAGGGUUCGAUUCCGGAGAGGGAGCCUGAGAAACGGCUACCACAUCUAAGGAAGGCAGCAGGCGCGCAAAUUACCCAAUUCUAACAGCAUAAGAGAGGUAGUGACAAGAAAUAACAAUACAAGGCAGUUAAAAUGCUUUGUAAUUGGAAUGAUGGAAAUUUAAACACUUUUUAAAGUAUCAAUUGGAGGGCAAGGCUGGUGCCAGCAGCCGCGGUAAUUCCAGCUCCAAUAGCGUAUAUUAAAAUUGUUGCAGUUAAAAAGCUCGUAGUUGAAUUUCUGUUAAAAAUAACCGGUCUGCUUUUAAUAAAAGUGGUAUCUUGGUGUGUUUUUAGCAAUAAUGUCCUUUGAAAUGUUUUUUACUUUAUUGUAAUAAAUAAUAUUCAGGAUUUUUACUUUGAGAAAAUUAGAGUGUUUCUAGCAGGCUAACGCUUUGAAUACUGCAGCAUGGAAUAAUAAAAUAGGAUUUUAGUUCUACAUUAUUGGUUUUAAGAACUAAAUUAAUGAUUGAUAGGGACAGUUGGGGGCAUUUGUAUUUAACUGUCAGAGGUGAAAUUCUUAGAUUUGUUAAAGACAAACUACUGCGAAAGCAUUUGCCAAAGAUGUUUUCAUUAAUCAAGAAC
Molecule: ribosomal RNA, 809 nt
Filed under: Hepatozoon felis
Lineage: Eukaryota; Apicomplexa; Hepatozoidae
Description: bacterial SSU rRNA
Rfam family: Eukaryotic small subunit ribosomal RNA
Source: RNAcentral